This 749-nucleotide ribosomal RNA is filed under the name uncultured bacterium. RNAcentral's name for it is "bacterial SSU rRNA". It matches the Rfam family "Bacterial small subunit ribosomal RNA", at positions 79 to 826 of the family's 1533-position model. The record is from RNAcentral.
CUUGCUUCUCUUGAGAGCGGCGGACGGGUGAGUAAUGCCUAGGAAUCUGCCUGGUAGUGGGGGAUAACGUUCGGAAACGGACGCUAAUACCGCAUACGUCCUACGGGAGAAAGCAGGGGACCUUCGGGCCUUGCGCUAUCAGAUGAGCCUAGGUCGGAUUAGCUAGUUGGUGGGGUAAUGGCUCACCAAGGCGACGAUCCGUAACUGGUCUGAGAGGAUGAUCAGUCACACUGGAACUGAGACACGGUCCAGACUCCUACGGGAGGCAGCAGUGGGGAAUAUUGGACAAUGGGCGAAAGCCUGAUCCAGCCAUGCCGCGUGUGUGAAGAAGGUCUUCGGAUUGUAAAGCACUUUAAGUUGGGAGGAAGGGUUGUAGAUUAAUACUCUGCAAUUUUGACGUUACCGACAGAAUAAGCACCGGCUAACUCUGUGCCAGCAGCCGCGGUAAUACAGAGGGUGCAAGCGUUAAUCGGAAUUACUGGGCGUAAAGCGCGCGUAGGUGGUUUGUUAAGUUGGAUGUGAAAUCCCCGGGCUCAACCUGGGAACUGCAUUCAAAACUGACUGACUAGAGUAUGGUAGAGGGUGGUGGAAUUUCCUGUGUAGCGGUGAAAUGCGUAGAUAUAGGAAGGAACACCAGUGGCGAAAGCGACCACCUGGACUAAUACUGACACUGAGUGCGAAAGCGUGGGGAGCAAACAGGAUUAGAUACCCUGGUAGUCCACGCCGUAAACGAUGUCACUAGCCGUUGG